RNAcentral lists this ribosomal RNA (468 nucleotides) under uncultured bacterium. RNAcentral's name for it is "partial 16S ribosomal RNA". It matches the Rfam family "Bacterial small subunit ribosomal RNA", at positions 28 to 507 of the family's 1533-position model. The record is from RNAcentral.
GACGAACGCUGGCGGCGUGCUUAACACAUGCAAGUCGAACGGAAAGGCCCUGCUUUUGUGGGGUGCUCGAGUGGCGAACGGGUGAGUAACACGUGAGUAACCAGCCCUUGACUUUGGGACAACUUCAGGAAACUGGGGCUAAUACCGGAUAGGAGCUCCUGCUGCAUGGUGGGGGUUGGAAAGUUUCGGCGGUUGGGGAUGGACUCGCGGCUUAUCAGCUUGUUGGUGGGGUAGUGGCUUACCAAGGCUUUGACGGGUAGCCGGCCUGAGAGGGUGACCGGCCACAUUGGGACUGAGAUACGGCCCAGACUCCUACGGGAGGGAGCAGUGGGGAAUAUUGCACAAUGGGCGGAAGCCUGAUGCAGCAACGCCGCGUGCGGGAUGACGGCCUUCGGGUUGUAAACCGCUUUCGCCUGUGACGAAGCGUGAGUGACGGUAAUGGGUAAAGAAGCACCGGCUAACUACGUG